GAAGUUCCAAACAAAAUCGAUCCGGAAUCAAUUGAAUUCCGGAUACUAAUACCUCUUUAUUGAUUGCAAGAUUAGAAGAAGACAAUAAAGAACCCUAAUUGAUUCCCUGAAUCAAUUACACAUUACAAGAUUGAUUCCCUGAAUCAAUUCCCCUUCCUACACAAUACUUCAAAACUACUCACACUAACCCCCCCUCACUCCUAUUUAUAGGAUUCUGCCUCCCCCUACCCACGACAGUUACCAAAACUGCUGCAUGGGUUUAUUCCCCUGCUGCCACGUGGCCUUCUAUGGUACACUCUUGUGAUGGGUGGUCUCUCCCACACCCUAUCAAUACCCCCUCCCAGAAGAACCAACUUGUCCUCAAGGACAAAUUGAGGAAAAGCUUCUUCAUUUGCGCCACCGACUCCCAAGAAUUCUCACACUCUUCGACAAAUCUUCCCACUACACCAACACUUCAACAUUCCCACUCUGAUCAACCCAGUGUUGCAAGAUUUCCGUCGGUUGCACCUUCAACUCCAACUCCUCGGACAACAUCAUUGGAAGGGGCUGAGGUUGUUGAGCCGGUUUCAAAGCCCUUUUCAACAAAGAAACAGGGAACACAGGAUGAACUCGUGUAUGAUCCGGCAAUGCCAACCGGUAAGCCACCAGCCCAAUGCGCUCCAAAAUCCGAUAUGGCCCAUAGAACUUAGCUGACAAUUUGGCCGAAGGUCUUGAAGCAGUCUUCAACCUAUACGGUUGAAGUUUCAAGAACACCCAAUCUUCCACCUCAAAUUCAACCUCACUCCUAUUUUUAUCUGCCUGAGCCUUCAUCAAAUCUUGGGCACGUAACAGAUUCUGCCUCAACUCUUGAAGGACCUCAUCUCGGGCAACCAAGAGCUGAUUUACUUCCUCAACCUUCGACGUAAAAGUACACCCCUUAAUCAAAAUCGGAGGAUCCCUCCCAUAUAAGGCUUUGAAAGGAGUCAUACCUGUAGAAACGUUGUAAGUAGUGUUAAACCAAAACUCGACCCAUGAAAGUCAUUCUCCCCAUUUCUUUGGCUUAGGCCCCACAAAGCAUCGAAGGUAUGUUUCCAAACUGUGAUUCACCAUCUCAGUUUGCCCAUCCAUUUGAGGAUGGUAAGCCGUGUUGUACUUCAAACGAGUACUUGUCAACCGGAACAACUCCUGCCAGAAUUGGCUCAAAAAGACCUGAUCAGAAACUAUUGAUGAUGGAAACCCAUGUAGCUUCACCACUUCUCUAACAAACACGGAAGCUACAUCCUUAGCCGAAUAGGGAUGGCCAAGAGGAUAAAAGUGGGCAUACUUUGUGGGCCGAUCCACCACUACCAAAAUGGUAUCCUUGCCACUAGACCGUGGCAAUCCGGAUAUGAAAUCCAUCGAGAUGUCCUGCCAUACCUGAGUAUGAAUAGGUAGUGGCUGCAAAACCCCUCCAGGUGCUAAAGUGAAAUACUUUUGGUGUUGACACACAUCACACGCCUCGACAUACUGCUUCACAUAACCAUGCAUGCCAUCUCAAUAAAAGAAACUAGAAACCCGUUUGUAAGUGCGGAAGAACCCAGAGUGACCAGCGGCUACACUGUCAUGGCACUCGGCUAAAAUCAGAGGCAACUUGUCAGACGUCUUGGACAACACCAAUCACCCCUUAUACAAUAAACGUUCGGCCUGAAACUGGAACCCCAUAUGAUAGUCUGAAUUUUCUGCCAAAUCCUGGAUUACCCUUCUCCACUUAGGUUCCUGCUGAACCUCUUGGAACCAACCCUCGACAUCUCCAACAUUAAUCACUGAGAUUGCCGAAUAAUAGGCCUUCCUCGAUAAUGCAUCAGCCAUAAAAUUUUCCUUUCCGGGUUUGAACUGAAUCUCAAAAUUCAAACCAAUGAGUUUUAUUGCCCAUUUAAAUUGUUCCUCACUGAAAAGCCUCUGAUCUGUAAUGAAUUUCAAACUCCUUUGGUCCGUUUUAAUGACAAAGUGGCGGCCCAUACUGCACGGUCUGAACCAAUGCCAUCAAUUCUCGCUCAUAAACCGACUUCAAAUGGGAUCUCGCUAACAACCCCUUACUCCAAAAAGCUAAAGGGCGACCUUCUUGUAUCAACACUGCCCCAAUCCCCUUACUAGAAGCAUCGGUUUCCAACACAAAGGUCUUCGUGAAGUCUGGCACGACCAACACCGGUAAAUUGACCAUGGCUGCCUUGAGGGUCUGGAAGGCCAUAGUGGCAUCUUCGGUCCACACGAAGUUAUCAUUUUUCAAUAAAUCUUGAGAGGCUUGGCAAUUCUCCCAUAUCCUUGCACAAACCUACGGACUGCGGUAAUAACCUGUGAGGCCCAGAAAUCCCCUUAAACUCUUUAAAUCACGGGGUAUAGGCCAAGAACUCAUAGUGGCCACUUUAGACUCAUCUGCCGCCACUCCAGAAUGAGAGAUAAUGUGGCCCAAAUAUUUUAAACUGGGCUUAACAAAACUACAUUUUUUCUUGUUGACCUUCAGCGAAUUGUCUCGCAGAGCAGUCAAAACCUCCCUCAACUGCUUCUCAUGAGACUCCUCAUCCGGACUAUAAAUCAAAAUAUCAUCGAAGAAGACCAAUGCAAAUCGUCGCAAGUAGGGUCGUAACACCUCAUUCAUAAGGGUCUGGAAGGUCGAAGGUGCAUUAGUGAGACCAAAAGGCAUCACAACAAACUCAUAAUGACCUUCAUGGGUUCGGAAAGUAGUCUUCUCCACAUCUUCACUCCGCAUCCGAAUCUGAUGAUACCUCGAUUUCAAGUCCAAUUUGGUGAAGACGGCGGCUCCUCCAAUCUCAUCCAACAACUCCUCAAUAAUCGGAAUAGGGAAUUUGUUCGGUAUGGUUACCUUAUUUAAGGCUCUAUAAUCCACACAGAACCUCCAUCCCCCAUCUUUUUUCUUCACCAAAAUGACAGGACUGGAAUAAGGACUGAUGCUAUGCUGAAUAACCCCAGACUCCAACAUUUCCUUAACCAGACCUUCAAUCUAUGUUUUCUGAUAGUGUGGAUAUUUGUACGAUCUAACAUUGGGGAUGAUUGCCCCCUCAAUCAGAUGUAUGGCAUGAUACUGCCUUCGGACUAGUGGCAAGCCGGUAGAAUCCUUGAACAACUCAUCAAAGUCUUCGAGCAACUGCAACAUUCGGACCGGAGUGCUCUCAACCCCCUCGCCCUUUCGACUUGAUGAUUCACACUACAUGAUUAAUCCCUCACCUUCGGCCCGAAGUACCUACAACAAUGCUCCAUAUGAAAGUUCAGUUUUAGCCAAGGCUGGAUUACCGGUGAUGCGAAUCAAAUUUUGUCCUUGUCUGACCGUGAGCUCCAGUUUACCAAAAUCAGCUUAGACCUCACCCAAUCCAGAUAACCAGUCUAAUCCCAACACUAGAUCAACCCCUUUGAGAGUGAAGAGAUAAAAAUCUUGGACCACCUCCUAAUUCUAUAUCUGGAAAGACAAUUGGGCGCAUUUCCCUCCACACUUCACCUUAUGUCCGUCUCCUACCUCCACCAUGUAAGAAGGAGUAUCCUGAACCACCAAAUUUAACUCUCUCACCACCUCAUUGGCUAUGAAGUUGUGAGAAGCCCCACAGUCAAUGAGCACAACAAUAGCUAUUCCCCUCAAUUAUCCCUUCUAUCUUCCAAGACCUUGUCGUGGUAAAGCCCGACAUGGAACACAAGGAUAACCGCAAAUCUUGGACCAAGUCCACAACUUCUUCCCCUCCACCUUCUUCCUCAUCCCCUGCCUCCAUAAUAAGCAUUCAGAAUUGCCUAUUUUUGCAUCGGUGGUCUCUAGUGUAAGGCUCAUCACAUCUAAAACAUAGCUCUUUGUCAUGCCGAUCUUUAACCUCAGCACUGGUUAAAUGUUUGAAUUCUCCUCCUCUUGGCCGAACACCCUCACUUCCUGGUUUCGGCUCAAAAUUCCCAAUAGUGUUACUUCCCCCGAAACUGUCUUGCCUUCCCUCCCCAACGGUUUUUGAUUCCACGGUCACAGUUCUAGAGUAAGGAUUGCUUCUCUGACUUCCUCCACUUCGGCUUGCAUAACCAUACGAGCCCCUCUUACUCAAUAUCACAUUCUUUUGUAUAAUUUCGGAUAAAGAAUGUAAUUCAUACAAUUUUACCUCGGCUCUAAGCUCCUCUUUCAAUCCAUUCAUGAAUAUGCCUCUUGCAAACUCUUGAUCAAUGGUUCUCAAAGCUCCAACAUCCUUCUCAAACUCCUCUACAAACUCUUCCACGCAACCUGUUUGCUUGAGAGCCAAUAACUGCUCAAACGGAUUCUGCAUCAUAGACGGCUGGAAUCUUCGAACCACAACGAUCUUGAAACCUUCCCACUUUGGCCUCGGGUUGCACUUUUCCCACCAAUGGUGCCAACUCAAAGCCUUCUCUUCAAGUGCCAUAAUCGUGGCUUGCAUUUUCUCGCCUUCCGUAAGCUCCUUGAGUUGGAAGUAUCUCUCCAACCGGUGAGUCCAUCCAAAUGCGUCGUCGUCGGAAAAAAUCGGAAUUUCCAAUUUUCUCCAUUUUUCCUGCCGAAAUUGGUCAUCUCCUUCAUGGAACUCCUCUCUCCCGUGGCUAGCCCUCUCUUGCCGAAACGGACCGUCGUUCCCGCGGAAAUCCUCUCCGCUGCGAUUGUCUUGGCCUCGGUGUUCCUGACUUCGCCUCUCGCUGCGGUCACGGCCAAUUCCGCCGUGAACAGAACUGGCGGUGUCGCCGCCGUGGUCAGCGUCGGCGGUGAAACCGUAGCGCUCCAUCUUCGCUGUCAUCUCCGCCAUUUGCUCCUCGUGCUUCUUCACCAAGGAUUCCGCAAAUUCCAAUCUCAUUCGCAUCUCUUCACGUUCUUGUUCCCAAUCAUCUCCGGACCGUGACAUGCUUCGAGUCUUCAUGAAUUAACAAUGAAUCAGCAGCAGUUUUCAGGGCACCGGAAUCGGUGCUCUGAUACCAGUGAUAACACCGGUAAAAGAAUGCACAAAAGAAGAAGUUCCGAACAAAAUCAAUCCGAAAUCAAUUGAAUUCCGGAUACUAAUACCUCUUUAUUGAUUGCAAGAUUAGAAGAAGACAAUGAAGAACCCUAAUUGAUUCCCUGAAUCAAUUCCCCUUCCUACACAAUACUUCAAAACUACUCACACUAACCUCCCCACUCCUAUUUAUAGGAUUUUGCUCCCCCUACCCACGGCAGUUACCAAAACUGCUGCAGGGGUUUAGUCCCCUGCUGCCACGCGGACUAUUGGCUGCCACAUGGCCUUCUACGGUACACCCUUGUGAUGGGUGGUCUCUCCCGCAC
This 5260-nucleotide long non-coding RNA is filed under the name Lupinus angustifolius (narrow-leaved blue lupine). RNAcentral's name for it is "long non-coding RNA (LANG_LNC002833)". Lineage: Eukaryota; Viridiplantae; Streptophyta; Magnoliopsida; Fabales; Fabaceae. The record is from RNAcentral.